UGGGGAAUCUUCCGCAAUGGACGAAAGUCUGACGGAGCAACGCCGCGUGAGUGAUGACGGCCUUCGGGUUGUAAAGCUCUGUUAAUCGGGACGAAUGGUUCUUGUGCGAAUAGUGCGAGGAUUUGACGGUACCGGAAUAGAAAGCCACGGCUAACUACGUGCCAGCAGCCGCGGUAAUACGUAGGUGGCAAGCGUUGUCCGGAAUUAUUGGGCGUAAAGCGCGCGCAGGCGGAUUGGUCAGUCUGUCUUAAAAGUUCGGGGCUUAACCCCGUGAUGGGAUGGAAACUGCCAAUCUAGAGUAUCGGAGAGGAAAGUGGAAUUCCUAGUGUAGCGGUGAAAUGCGUAGAUAUUAGGAAGAACACCAGUGGCGAAGGCGACUUUCUGGACGGAAACUGACGCUGAGGCGCGAAAGCCAGGGGAGCGAACGGGAUUAGAUACCCCGGUAGUCCUGGCCGUAAACGAUGGGUACUAGGUGUAGGAGGUAUCGACCCCUUCUGUGCCGGAGUUAACGCAAUAAGUACCCCGCCUGGGGAGUACGACCGCAAGGUUG
This 550-nucleotide ribosomal RNA is filed under the name uncultured bacterium. Its description in RNAcentral is "bacterial SSU rRNA". It matches the Rfam family "Bacterial small subunit ribosomal RNA", at positions 355 to 896 of the family's 1533-position model. The record is from RNAcentral.